This 24-nucleotide non-coding RNA is filed under the name Arabidopsis thaliana (thale cress). The record is from RNAcentral. Lineage: Eukaryota; Viridiplantae; Streptophyta; Magnoliopsida; Brassicales; Brassicaceae.
ACGUUGGAGGUGCGAAUGUGCUCC